This is a long non-coding RNA of Alligator mississippiensis (American alligator), 1293 nucleotides long. RefSeq lists it as uncharacterized. The record is from RefSeq and is a predicted model, not a curated record. NCBI's taxonomy places the organism in Eukaryota, Metazoa, Chordata, Crocodylia, Alligatoridae. The transcript is spliced from 2 exons.
GAUGCGGAUAACCUGGAGAGGGUCCAGAGAAGGGCAACUCGUAUGGUCAAGGGCCUGCAGACCAAGCCCUACGAGGAGAGACUAGAGAACCUGGACCUUUUCAGCCUCCGCAAGAGAAGGUUGAGAGGCGACCUUGUGGCUGCCUAUAAGUUCAUCACGGGGGCACAGAAGGGAAUUGGUGAGGAUUUAUUCACCAAGGCGCCCCCGGGGGUUACAAGAAACAAUGGCCACAAGCUAGCAGAGAGCAGAUUUAGACUGGACAUUAGGAAGAACUUCUUCACAGUUCGAGUGGCCAAGGUCUGGAACGGGCUCCCAAGGAAGGUGGUGCUCUCCCCUCCCCUGGGGGUCUUCAAGAGGAGGUUAGAUGAGUAUCUAGCUGGGGUCAUCUAGACCCAGCACUCUUUCCUGCUUAUGCAGGGGGUCGGACUCGAUGUUCCAUUGAGGUCCCUUCUGACCCUAACAUCUAUGAAUCUAUGAAUCUUAAAAGACUCAGGGCAGCUGCUGGGGGAGCAAGGGAGAAAGGGCAGGACGAAAAGGCAGACUGGGCACAAUGGGAGGAAGGGGACCAGGUAGCACAGGCCACCUGUGGGUGGAUGGAAAGACACUGAGUGCUGGCCGCCAGUCAGGGACUCGUGAGAAAUAGCUGCUCUCCAAACUUAAGAGUCAGCAUCAAGGGAUGCGUGAGGUUUGCUUUGGGCAGCCCCUGCUACACUGAUGCCUUUAUGGCGAAUGGGGCUUCUUUAAGAGAAGGGGGUGAAUGAAAGGUCUGGGGGACUGGUGAGUGUUGUUCUACCCCAGCCUUGCUGAGCCCCCUCUGCUGGAUGCCAGCUUUGAUUUAUAGAGAACGAGGACUGGAAGGGACCUCAGGAGGUCGCAUCUGGUCUAACCCCCUGCUUCAAGCCAGACCAACCCCAGCUACAUCAUCCCAGCCAGGGCUUUGUCGAGCUGGGUCUUAAACACCUCCAAGGAUGGAGACCCCACAACCACAAAAGCUUCCUCAGCAUGUUUUCUUCUUUCACUUUGCAGCUUAGUUAGACGCCACCUCAUGUGAGUGGAAGAGGCACUCAGGAGCUGGAGAGAGAGCGAGAGAGACCCACUGGGUGAGAGAAGCAAAGGAGCCCAUGGAGGGCCACACCCCAGCAGAGUCCUCCAGGGAAGAGGUGAUCCUGCCUCGAGCUGGGAUUUGGACAAGAUGACCUACGGAAGUCCCUUGCAGCCUGACUUUUCCGUGAUCCUCCCCAACCCCCCACAUGUGCCAGGUACAGAAUUAACAUGCUCUCCCUCUGGAUUGUC